GAUGAACGCUGACAGAAUGCUUAACACAUGCAAGUCUACUUGAAUUUGGGUUUUUUAACUUAGAUUUGGGUGGCGGACGGGUGAGUAACGCGUAAAGAGCUUGCCUCACAGCUAGGGACAACAUUUGGAAACGAAUGCUAAUACCUGAUAUUAUGAUUAUAAGGCAUCUUAGAAUUAUGAAAGCUAUAUGCGCUGUGAGAGAGCUUUGCGUCCCAUUAGCUAGUUGGAGAGGUAACGGCUCACCAAGGCGAUGAUGGGUAGCCGGCCUGAGAGGGUGAACGGCCACAAGGGGACUGAGACACGGCCCUUACGCAUACGUGAGGCAGCAGUGGAGAAUAGUGGACAAUGGACCAAGAGUCUGAUCCAGCAAUUCUGUGUGCACGAUGACGUUUUUCGGAAUGUAAAGUGCUUUCAGUUGGGAAGAAAAAAAUGACGGUACCAACAGAAGAAGUGACGGCUAAAUACGUG
RNAcentral lists this ribosomal RNA (468 nucleotides) under uncultured bacterium. Its description in RNAcentral is "partial 16S ribosomal RNA". It matches the Rfam family "Bacterial small subunit ribosomal RNA", at positions 28 to 507 of the family's 1533-position model. The record is from RNAcentral.